Molecule: ribosomal RNA, 200 nt
Filed under: uncultured bacterium
Lineage: Bacteria
Description: partial 16S ribosomal RNA
Rfam family: Bacterial small subunit ribosomal RNA
Source: RNAcentral
CAGGCUGCAACUCGCCUGCAUGAAGUCGGAAUUGCUAGUAAUCGUAGGUCAGCAUACUACGGUGAAUACGUUCCCGGGCCUUGUACACACCGCCCGUCAAACCAUGAGAGUUGGCAACACCCGAAGUCGGUAGUCUAACCGCAAGGAGGACGCCGCCGAAGGUGGGGUUGAUGAUUAGGGUUAAGUCGUAACAAGGUAGC